AUGGCUGGUGUUCUAACGUGGGCCCGUGAACCGGGUUGCGGACAGUGUCUGGUGGGUAGUUUGACUGGGGCGGUCUCCUCCUAAAGAGUAACGGAGGAGCACGAAGGUUGGCUAAUCCUGGUCGGACAUCAGGAGGUUAGUGCAAUGGCAUAAGCCAGCUUGACUGCGAGCGUGACGGCGCGAGCAGGUGCGAAAGCAGGUCAUAGUGAUCCGGUGGUUCUGAAUGGAAGGGCCAUCGCUCAACGGAUAAAAGGUACUCCGGGGAUAACAGGCUGAUACCGCCCAAGAGUUCAUAUCGACGGCGGUGUUUGGCACCUCGAUGUCGGCUCAUCACAUCCUGGGGCUGAAGUAGGUCCCAAGGGUAUGGCUGUUCGCCAUUUAAAGUGGUACGCGAGCUGGGUUUAGAACGUCGUGAGACAGUUCGGUCCCUAUCUGCCGUGGGCGCUGGAAGAUUGAGGGGGGCUGCUCCUAGUACGAGAGGACCGGAGUGGACGCAUCACUGGUGUUCGGGUUGUCAUGCCAAUGGCACUGCCCGGUAGCUACAUGCGGAAGAGAUAAGUGCUGAAAGCAUCUAAGCACGAAACUUGCCCCGAGAUGAAUCUUCCCUGAGCCUUUAAGGCUCCUGAAGGAACGUUGAAGACGACGACGUUGAUAGGCCGGGUGUGUAAGCGCAGCGAUGCGUUGAGCUAACCGGUACUAAUGAACCGUGAGGCUUAACCUUACAAC
This 726-nucleotide ribosomal RNA is filed under the name Salmonella enterica. RNAcentral describes it as "partial 23S ribosomal RNA". It matches the Rfam family "Bacterial large subunit ribosomal RNA", at positions 2210 to 2925 of the family's 2925-position model. Lineage: Bacteria; Pseudomonadati; Pseudomonadota; Gammaproteobacteria; Enterobacterales; Enterobacteriaceae. The record is from RNAcentral.